CUUAGUAGCGGCGAGUGAGCGGCAAAAGCUCAAAUUUGAAAUCUGGCGCCUUCGGUGUCCGAGUUGUAAUUUGAAGAUUGUAACCUUGGGGUUGGCUCUUGUCUAUGUUUCUUGGAACAGGACGUCACAGAGGGUGAGAAUCCCGUGCGAUGAGAUGCCCAAUUCUAUGUAAGGUGCUUUCGAAGAGUCGAGUUGUUUGGGAAUGCAGCUCUAAGUGGGUGGUAAAUUCCAUCUAAAGCUAAAUAUUGGCGAGAGACCGAUAGCGAACAAGUACAGUGAUGGAAAGAUGAAAAGAACUUUGAAAAGAGAGUGAAAAAGUACGUGAAAUUGUUGAAAGGGAAGGGUUUGAGAUCAGACUCGAUAUUUUGUGAGCCUUGCCUUCGUGGCGGGGUGACCCGCAGCUUAUCGGGCCAGCAUCGGUUUGGGCGGUAGGAUAAUGGCGUAGGAAUGUGACUUUACUUCGGUGAAGUGUUAUAGCCUGCGUUGAUGCUGCCUGCCUAGACCGAGGACUGCGAUUUUAUCAAGGAUGCUGGCAUAAUGAUCCCAAACCGCCCGUCUU
Molecule: ribosomal RNA, 559 nt
Filed under: Meyerozyma guilliermondii
Lineage: Eukaryota; Fungi; Ascomycota; Pichiomycetes; Serinales; Debaryomycetaceae
Description: eukaryotic LSU rRNA
Rfam family: Eukaryotic large subunit ribosomal RNA
Source: RNAcentral